Molecule: ribosomal RNA, 253 nt
Filed under: uncultured bacterium
Lineage: Bacteria
Description: partial 16S ribosomal RNA
Rfam family: Bacterial small subunit ribosomal RNA
Source: RNAcentral
UACGUAGGGUGCGAGCGUUGUCCGGAAUUAUUGGGCGUAAAGAGCUUGUAGGCGGUUUGUCGCGUCUGCUGUGAAAAUCCGGGGCUCAACCCCGGACUUGCAGUGGGUACGGGCAGACUAGAGUGUGGUAGGGGAGACUGGAAUUCCUGGUGUAGCGGUGAAAUGCGCAGAUAUCAGGAGGAACACCUAUUGCGAAGGCAGCUCGCUGGGACGUUACUGACGCUGAGACGCGAAAGCGUGGGGAGCAAACAGG